This 405-nucleotide ribosomal RNA is filed under the name uncultured bacterium. RNAcentral's name for it is "partial 16S ribosomal RNA". It matches the Rfam family "Bacterial small subunit ribosomal RNA", at positions 28 to 526 of the family's 1533-position model. The record is from RNAcentral.
GAUGAACGCUGGCGGCGUGCCUAAUACAUGCAAGUCGAGCGAAGCGGGGACGGGGGAGUAACACGUGGAUAACCUCCUAUAUGGCUGGGGUAACUUCGUGAAACCGGAGCUUAUACCGAUACUUAUAGAUGGUUGCACGCUGCAUUUGCUAGUUGGUAAGGUAACGGCUUACAAAGGCAACGAUGCAUAGCCGACCUGAGAGGAUGAUCAGCCACACUGGAACUGAGACACGGUCCAGACUCCUACGGGAGGCAGCAGUAGGGAAUCUUCCGCAAUGGGCGAAAGCCUGACGGAGCAACGCCGCGUGAGUGAUGAAGGUCUUCGGAUCGUAAAGCUCUGUUAGUAGGGAAGCGGUACCUAAACAGAAAGCCACGGCUAACUACGUGCCAGCCGCCGCGGUAAUAC